CCGUUUUCCCGAGAAAAAAUUCUGCCCGGUUUUCAUCUCGCCUUUCUUCGAUCUUUCAAGUGAGUUCAUACCCCUUAAUUAACCCUUUUAAAUAUUCUAAAUGCUUUUAUACGCUUUCAGGGGGGGGGGAAUACAAGUAAAACACACGAUUUAUUAUCGGGUGUUAUAUAGAAAGUUUUAUUAUACACUUUAAUUUAAAUAGAAUCAUAUGUGAUUUAUAAACUUUAUAGGGAACUAUCGUAUAUAAAAUAUAUUACAAUGGCAUUCUAUCUUUUGAAAUAUAAAUUGUUGUCAUGCAUGUAUAAACUAAACAUUUUGCUUAGAUUAUAUGUAUACGUGUCUAUCUUAGGCACUAUAAAAAUCUAUACUUUCAUAUCAAGUGAUUCAUUUUCUAGGGAUUUCUAAACAAAUGAGACACACUUUUAGAAAGCUAUAAUAGGUAUAGUUUUAUGAGAAUAUUGCUAACUUUUACAUACUAGAAACAAAAUUUUCAAGAAGUCACUUUCAUAUACACGAACAAACGAACAUUUUAACACGUAAAUCUGUUUUUAUACUAAGAUUUGUGAGACAUUAACUUCACGUAUGUUCGAGUACACAUUUCAAGUCCUGUAUUAUAUACCAGAAUCCCUUGGAGGGGGAUCAUGGCGUUUGUGUAUAUAUCUAUACGGGUUUGACAACCCGCGCCUUGACUGUUAGCUACAGUCCACCAUUUGGGGUGACAAACGUCAUAACAUUCCAACGCCUGAAGAACGUUGUGUAUAGGCAUUCCGAGUCAAUAGUAUGGUUAUAAAACUCACAUGAGGUAUUAAAAAUACAUUGAUUUACGAGGUUUUCAAACAUAUUGGUUAUUUUACACUUACAUACAUUUUCUGAAACAAACAUUGGUCUUGAGAGAAGGCUACUUUUAUACUAGUAGAAAAUAUAGGAUUUUCUAGAAACAAACAAACAAGGACAAAACAUUUCAUUUCAUACAAACAUUGUCAUUUAAUACUUAUGAAACUCACCAGCUUAAAUGUUGAUCUACUCUUUCAAAACUACUUGUAUGUCCCAGGGAUUCAGUAAUUACAGGUAUCAAAACAGCUUUUGAAGAAGGGACGCUGCGUCGUCAGUUUAAAUUCAUAUUUUGGCAUCAUAUUGUAAUUGGUUUUGAACAUGUAUUUUUAACAAUGUAAACUUUCAAUUAUAUAUAUGAUGGUUGUAUUGCUUUCUUUACUAUGUAUUCAUUUGUUAUGCUACCACAUGAAGUCAUCCGCCCCCGAACGUUUCCGUCGUUCCGGUUUGGGGGUGUGACAGAUUGGUAUCAGAGCAGUGUAUAUAGUGAACUAAGUAUAUCGAACCACAUAAUAUAUACAAACUAUAAAUGAUUAAGGGACUAAUACUCUCUGAUAAAACAUUUUUGUUUUACGCCUAAGUCGCGUUUCGUUUAACUUUUAAUGUUAAUUCAUUCAAAUACAAAUACAUGCAUACAACAAACAUGUUUUCAUAAUUAUAACUAUAGAAGAAGUAUUUAGACAUGUUGGACACUACGGUUAAGACUCGAUAUAUGUAAUCGGAUUUGGGACAAAUAUAGCAUGAUCAACUAUAUUUGUCCGAGAUCGGACCAAUAUAUAUCGAGGAUUGCUCGUAGUAAGCAACAAGUCAAAACUUACCAAAACAUCACGGGAAUCAAACACACGAAUUUAAAUACUAUAGGAGUAUUUAUUACUUAUGAUAUCUUAACAUACCUGUUUAGUCUUAAAUGUUCUAAACAUUAUUCGAUUCUUAUAACCCUAUUCUCGUACAGUCAAAUGGCUGGAUUUCACCACCCCGGCGACACCUAUUAUCCCAACCAAGGAAACGGAGGAUGGAUCGAAGAGGAUCCCGAAGAGGAAGAAGAACCCAUAGAAUUGGAUGAUGACUCCGGUACCGACUCAGAGCCGGAAGUGAUCAAUCCACCUCCCGCACAACCUCCCGUCUUCGUCAGGAACUUUCAAGGACCGACUCCCGUCUGGGGAAGUCACCUCCACCAUUGGAGCCAACAACAAAACCUACGCCCUCCCUACGGCAUGUGCCGAGACUUCUACGAUGUCCGCGGCGGAGGUUCAGCUGAUCGGGCACUACCAGUAAUGGUGGGCAAGCUAGCCAAUCAGUCCUACCAAUCCGGAGUUCAAGCUAGCCGGAUUCGGGAUGUCAACGUAGAAGUACAGGUUCACACUUCUGACAUCCGUAGGCUGGACAGAAUUCAGGACAAUGCCCAACUCCAAACCGAGGCAUUCCAAGCACAAAUGAUUGCAGCCCUAGCCGAAUUGAGGGAACAACAAGCCGCUUUUGAUAGGCGUCUAAUGGAAUCGAAGCAAUCGGAUGCGGAGUCAAGCUCCAAGCGCAACCUACGUCGCAAGUAGUGCUUGCCAAAAUCUCAAAUUUUGUUAUAAGUUAGGACCUCGGCUAAAAGUUUUUAAAUUUCUUAAACUUUGUAACUGGAGACCCUUAUAGGGGUCAAAUUUCCGUGAUCAUUGUAUCAACUAUUAUAUUAAUAUAAGUGGAACUAUUAUUACUACGUGGAGUGUUUCAUUCAAUCCUUAAAAUGUUAUGGAAAAACCAAAUGCUUGUUUCAUAUUUUCAGUCUUACAAAUAACUUUCAUUCUUCUAUUUUGGGACUUGUACUAUCAUCUGUCGUGGGCUAUAGAAAUUUAGUUCAUGAGACACAUUCAGUUUCUAUACUAAGGAAUUCUUAUCUCUAUCUUUUCAACCUAUAGUUGAAGGAUGCCUCCGCAUAGGAACCCAAGGCGAAACAACGGUGGGGAAGCACCUAUACCACCACCUCCACCUCCUCAAUUUGAUNUGUCAUGUUCCAAGCAGCAGUCACCGCAGCGGUAGCAGCUGCCAUGUCACAGAUCAAUAACUCGAGUACUACUGGCUCAGGAACUGGCACACACUUAUCCAACCAUGGCGAGAGUCAUGGGCAACCCCGAGAAUGCACCUAUAAGGACUUUACUAAUGCCAAACCCCGGAUGUUUUAUGGAACUAGUCAUGUGAUGGCUUUGAGGCAGUGGAUCGAAAGGACAGAAUCAGUCUUAGAAAUCUGCUCCUGUCCCGAGCACAGCAAAGUCAAGUUUGCAACUUUCACCCUUAUUGAUAGAGCUUUAACUUGGUGGAAUGGCCACGUUAAGGUACUUACCCUAAUAGUGGCAAACUCCAUAAGCUGGGAGAGCUUAAAAAUCAUGCUGAUGAGAGAAUACUGUCCACGAGGAGAGAUUCAAAAACUCGAGCACGAACUCUGGACUCUUGGAAUGAUUGGUACCGACAUAGCAACUUAUACCAACAGAUUCUGCGAUCUGGCAAUCCUUUGCCCAGAUAUGAUUGCUCCUGAGAGCAAGAAAAUAGAGAGAUACAUUUGGGGACUGUCGCCCCAAAUUCGAUCAAGCGUGUUAGCUUCAAAACCUGACACUUUUGAAAGUGCCAAGGAACUGGCACAAUCUCUUGUUGAUUAUGGAGGUCAUCAGAACUCAACGGUUGCUACACCAGAACCACAAAAGGGAAACAACAACAACAACAACAACAGGAAGAGAGUAUGGAAUAAAGGGAAGGGUGGGCCUUCCCAAGAAUCUGCGAAGAAACAACUGGUUUCAGUGAAUGCUGCCACUGUACCUACUACCAUUCCUACAAAUCCCUACCCAACAAAGACUUAUGGGGGUAACCUUCCAAAGUGCACCAAAUGCACUUACCACCAUCAUGGACCUUGUCGGGAAAUGCAGUGCUCCAACUGCAACAGAAAGGGACACACUGUUCGUUUCUGCAAGGAUCCUGCUAAGCUGAUCACUCAAGUUCCCAGCGCGGGUGCAGGCCAAACUUGCUACGGUUGUAGCGAGGUGGGCCGCGACAAGAGAAACUGUCCAAAGGCAGCAAAUACCNAAAUACCGGCGAGGUGGGACAAGUUUUGGCUAUAGGCCACGAUGAAGCGGUAGCUGAUCCGACUAUAGUUGUUGGUACGUUCCUUCUCGAUAAUUCAUAUGCAUGAAUAUUAUUUGAUAGUGGAGCGGAGAGAAGCUUCGUGAGUCAAAACUUUAUUCACUUACUUAAACAUAAACCUAGCAAGUUAGAAAAUCAUUCACUGUAGAGAUGGCAAAUGGAAAAACGGAAAACACUAACUGCAUAUACAUAGACUGUACGUUAACUUUAGAUGGUCAUUCUUUCCCAAUCAACCUCAUGCCGGUCCAAAUUAAAAGUUUCGACGUCAUAGUCGGCAUGGAUUGGUUAUGUCUUUUUCGCGCCAACAUCCUGUGCUUUGAAAAAGCAGUUCGUCUUAGUCUUCCUAAUGACGAAACAUUAGUGAUUUACGGCGACAAAUCAAGUACAAACCUUCGCAUCAUUUCGUGCAUCCAAGCUCGAAAGUGUUUGCGAAAGAAUUAUCAUGCAUUUCUUGCGCACAUCGUUGAUACGAGUCAUGAAUUAAGAGACAUCAAGAGCAUUCCCGAAGUACGCGACUUUCCCGAUAUCUUUCCAGAAGAACUACCGGGAUUACCACCACAACGCCAAGUCGAGUUUAGAAUCGACUUAGUUCUAGGGGCUGCCCCAGUAGCGAAAUCGCCUUAUCGCCUAGCACCAGCAGAGAUGCAAGAACUUUCCAGUCAGCUUAACGAACUCCUUCAAAAAGGAUUCAUAAGACCAAGUUUCUCACCUUGGGGAGCACCGGUCUUGUUCGUAAAGAAGAAAGACAGAUCGUUCCAUAUGUGCAUUGACUACAUAGAACUGAACAAACUUACUGUUAAAAACCGUUAUCCUCUACCCCGUAUUGACGACCUAUUUGAUCAACUUCAAGGAGCAAACUACUUCUCAAAGAUAGAUCUACAAUCCGGAUAUCACCAAUUACGAGUACUAGAGGGGGAUAUUCCCAAGACAACUUUCCGAACUCGUUAUGGACACUACGAAUUUGUAGUGAUGCCGUUCGGAUUAACCAAUGCACCAGCAGUAUUUAUGGACCUAAUGAAUAGGGUGUGCCGUCCUUACUUAGAUUAGUUCGUCAUCGUCUUCAUCGAUGAUAUACUUAUCUACUCUCGAAGUAAGGAAGAGCAUAGUCAAUAGUAUGGUUAUACUUGGGGUGACAAACGUCAUAACAUGCCAACGCCUGAAGAACGUUGUGUAUAUGCAUUCCGAGUCAAUAGUAUGGUUAUAAAACUCAUAUGAGGUAUUAAAAAUACAUUGAUUUACGAGGUUUUCAAACAUAUUGGUUAUUUUAUACGUACAU
Molecule: long non-coding RNA, 5224 nt
Filed under: Lactuca sativa (garden lettuce)
Lineage: Eukaryota; Viridiplantae; Streptophyta; Magnoliopsida; Asterales; Asteraceae
Description: long non-coding RNA (LSAT_LNC009345)
Source: RNAcentral